CUGAGUGAUCGUGUGUCAGGGAUCUCAUUCUUUAUGGAUGUCAGUCCAGCCACUUGCUUAAUUUGCAACAACGGACGGAUGCCCGCCCUCCCAGUCUAUCCGGCCUGCAGCUGUGGGGCUCAGCUUCCAACACGCUUCCCUCCAAGGCAACGUGCUACCACGAAGGACUGAAAAAAUCCCACUGCUGUGCAUGCAAGGCAGAAAAACCAACAGCAACAGAGGAAGCCGCAUGUACAAGGAUGAGGGGAGAGCUGACCAACCAAGCAUGGGAAGGAGGAAGAUAAGAAGAACCCUACCCACUGAUGGGAGCAGAAACCAAAACAAACAUCCUUGGGAAACCACAGGUCAUUAUCUAGAUAUGCACAUCAAGACCCAGAGAUGAGAGCAAUCAGCGCAGCUUCAAAAUCGCCAACACCCAGCCCCCUGCCUCCUUCCACCCAACCUUGCUGCAGAGCACGAACUCUCACUAGGACACACCCGACAUUCAGCACCGCACGGCAGGCAGGGGCAGGAGCUGAAUGUUGACAGCUUGUCUGCGGUAGGGAUGGCGUGUCUUACUCCCACAGAGACUCUAUCAGGAGAAAAAUACUGAAUAACUCCUACCUCAGUACAGUGAGGUUAAAUCCAAUUUAGUGGUUUUGCAAAAACUUGAGGCUGGCCAAUCAGAGUAAUGAAUACAAAUGGCAUUCCGGUUAUGUUUACUUUACCACAAUAAAAAAGGUUUUAAUUGGCAUUCCAAGGAGUUGGUUGAACUUAAAUGCUUAGCCAUUGAAAACCAGUGUUCUACCCCCAUACAUGCUGAUAGCUACAUUCUUCAAAAACCAACUUUUUUCCUUCUAACAAUAUUUAUGUAAUUGAGACAUGUAUUCCCUUUGAUUCGGGGAUCCCACUUCUAGAAAUGUGUCCUACAGAUAUAUUCAUGCAUAAAGGCAAUGACGAUCUACAGAUAAGAAUGUCUACUCAAGCAACAUUUGCAACAACCAGAAAUUUUAAAUAUCCUAAAUGAUCAUCAGUGAAGAUCUGGUAAAAAUAAAUUAUGGUACAGCUAUAUAAUGGGAUUUUACAGACUUUUUAAAAAAAAAGAAUAUUUAUGUAACUGAUAUUAAAAGCUGUCCAAGAUCUACUGCUGAAUGACAAAGAGGAGGUAGCUAUGGUAUACCACCAUUUGCCUUAAAAAACAAAGUUAUGUACACAUACACACAUGAAUAUUCAUAAAGGCAUAUGCAUGGUAUACAUACCUAUAUAUGAUAAGCAUCGAGGGAGGACAUCCAAUUCAAAAUACAUACUUACAUGUUAUAAUUUUAUUUCAGGGAAUAUGAGGUCA
This is a long non-coding RNA of Mustela lutreola (European mink), 1324 nucleotides long. RefSeq lists it as uncharacterized. The record is from RefSeq and is a predicted model, not a curated record. The transcript is spliced from 3 exons. Lineage: Eukaryota; Metazoa; Chordata; Mammalia; Carnivora; Mustelidae.